RNAcentral lists this ribosomal RNA (1284 nucleotides) under Candidatus Woesebacteria bacterium GW2011_GWB1_39_12. RNAcentral's name for it is "16S ribosomal RNA". It matches the Rfam family "Bacterial small subunit ribosomal RNA". Lineage: Bacteria; Candidatus Woeseibacteriota. The record is from RNAcentral.
UUUGAGGAUUUGAUCCUGGUCCAGGACGAACGCUAGCGACGUGCUUUAAGCAUGCAAGUAGAGCGAGCCCGCAAGGGCAAGCUGCGAACGGCUGAGUAACACGUAGGAACCUACACUUUGGUGGGGUACAGCUCGCCGAAAGGCGGGGUAAUACCGCAUGACCUCGCGAGAAAAGGAUGUAACUGUCCGCCGAAGAAGGGGCCUGCGGCCUAUCAGCUUGUUGGUGGGGUAACGGCCUACCAAGGCUACGACGGGUAGGGGGCGUGAGAGCGUGUUCCCCCAGAAUGGGACUGAGACACGGCCCAUACACCUACGGGUGGCAGCAACUGGGAAUCGUGCGCAAUGGACGAAAGUCUGACGCCGCGACGUCGCGUGUGGGAUGACGGCCUUCGGGUUGUAAACCACUUUUGCCAAAGAGUGAUUACUUUGGAGAAUAAGCACCGGCUAACUACGUGCCAGCAGCAGCGGUAAUACGUAGGGUGCAAGCGUUGUCCGAAUUUAUUGGGCGUAAAGAGUUCGUAGGCGUUUCCUUACAUCUUGUUUCAAAUACCGGAGCUCAACUUCGGGAAGGGGCAAGAGAUGGAGGAAAUUGGAGAGUGCAGGGGCUACUGGAACUUGCGGUGUAGGAGUGAAAUCCGUUGAUAUCGUAAGGAACACCGAGGGCGAAGGCAAGUAGCUGGGCACACCUUGACGCUGAGGAACGAAAGCUAGGGUAGCGAAAGGGAUUAGAGACCCCUGUAGUCCUAGCCGUAAACGAUGCUCGCUAGGGAUUUGCGUCCCGUAAGCUAACGCGUUAAGCGAGCCGCCUGGGGAGUACGAGCGCAAGCUUAAAACUCAAAGGAAUUGACGGGGACCCGCACAACCAGUGGAGCAUCGCAACCCCUGCCGUAUGUUAAAUUAUUCAUACGGGACUGGCCAGCUUAGCUGGCAGGAAGUGGGGACGAUGUUAAGUCCGCAUGGCCCUUAUGUCUAGGGCAACACACAUGCUACAAUGGAGCCGACAAUGGGUUGCCAAGUGGUAACACGGAGCUAAUCCCAUCAAACGGCUUCUCAGUUGGGAUUGAGGGCUGCAACUCGCCCUCAUGAACGCGGAAUUGGUAGUAAUCGGAAAUCAGCUAAGUUCCGGUGAAUACGUUCUCGGGUCUUGUACACACCGCAAUCCGUCAAGUUAGUGAAGUUGGGGGCACCCGAAUCCCGGAUGUUCCGGGGCAAGGUGAAACCAGCGACAAGAAUUAAGUCGUAACAAGGUAUCCGUUCUGGAAGGAGCGGAUGGAUCACCUCCUU